AGGUGAUAUGAACCGUUAUAACCGGCGAUACCCGAAUGGGGAAACCCAGUGUGACUCGUCACACUAUCAUUAACUGAAUCCAUAGGUUAAUGAGGCGAACCGGGGGAACUGAAACAUCUAAGUACCCCGAGGAAAAGAAAUCAACCGAGAUUCCCCCAGUAGCGGCGAGCGAACGGGGAGGAGCCCAGAGCCUGAAUCAGCAUGUGUGUUAGUGGAAGCGUCUGGAAAGGCGCGCGAUACAGGGUGACAGCCCCGUACACAAAAGCGCAUGUGCUGUGAGCUCGAUGAGUAGGGCGGGACACGUGGUAUCCUGUCUGAAUAUGGGGGGACCAUCCUCCAAGGCUAAAUACUCCUGACUGACCGAUAGUGAACCAGUACCGUGAGGGAAAGGCGAAAAGAACCCCGGCGAGGGGAGUGAAAAAGAACCUGAAACCGUGUACGUACAAGCAGUGGGAGCCCCACCACCAAAGCAUUUGCUGUACCGCGUUGACGGAGCGAAGCGACGUCAAACCGAUAAAACAGCAGUGUAAAGUGAGCCGCAGGGCGCUUUGCGCGACAGCGCAAAGGCAGGCGGUUUCGCGUAGCGAAAGCGAAUGCUUUGGGGUGGGGUGACUGCGUACCUUUUGUAUAAUGGGUCAGCGACUUAUAUUCUGUAGCAAGGUUAACCGAAUAGGGGAGCCGGAGGGAAACCGAGUCUUAAUUGGGCGUUAAGUUGCAGGGUAUAGACCCGAAACCCGGUGAUCUAGCCAUGGGCAGGUUGAAGGUUGGGUAACACUAACUGGAGGACCGAACCGACUAAUGUUGAAAAAUUAGCGGAUGACCUGUGGCUGGGGGUGAAAGGCCAAUCAAACCGGGAGAUAGCUGGUUCUCCCCGAAAGCUAUUUAGGUAGCGCCUCGUGAAUUCAUCUCCGGGGGUAGAGCACUGUUUCGGCUAGGGGGCCAUCCCGGCUUACCAACCCGAUGCAAACUGCGAAUACCGGAGAAUGUUAUCACGGGAGACACACGGCGGGUGCUAACGUCCGUCGUGAAGAGGGAAACAACCCAGACCGCCAGCUAAGGUCCCAAAGUCAUGGUUAAGUGGGAAACGAUGUGGGAAGGCCCAGACAGCCAGGAUGUUGGCUUAGAAGCAGCCAUCAUUUAAAGAAAGCGUAAUAGCUCACUGGUCGAGUCGGCCUGCGCGGAAGAUGUAACGGGGCUAAACCAUGCACCGAAGCUGCGGCAGCGACACUGUGUGUUGUUGGGUAGGGGAGCGUUCUGUAAGCCUGUGAAGGUGUGUCGUGAGGCAUGCUGGAGGUAUCAGAAGUGCGAAUGCUGACAUAAGUAACGAUAAAGCGGGUGAAAAGCCCGCUCGCCGGAAGACCAAGGGUUCCUGUCCAACGUUAAUCGGGGCAGGGUGAGUCGACCCCUAAGGCGAGGCCGAAAGGCGUAGUCGAUGGGAAACGGGUUAAUAUUCCCGUACUUGGUGUUACUGCGAAGGGGGGACGGAGAAGGCUAUGUUGGCCGGG
This 1505-nucleotide ribosomal RNA is filed under the name Salmonella enterica. RNAcentral's name for it is "partial 23S ribosomal RNA". It matches the Rfam family "Bacterial large subunit ribosomal RNA", at positions 84 to 1495 of the family's 2925-position model. Lineage: Bacteria; Pseudomonadati; Pseudomonadota; Gammaproteobacteria; Enterobacterales; Enterobacteriaceae. The record is from RNAcentral. RNAcentral also lists the same sequence under 1 other name.